GAGUACUGGCCAACUCAAAAAUCCUGAAGCCACAAAGUAACGCUGGGAUACAUGUGAAAACAUUGCUGUGGAAGGGGAGGUCUGCCAUUCACCUAACCACUUCUUUGGUAAUCUGUGACCUUGGGCAGAAGUCCCAUUUUGAAGACAGACAUAUGCCCAGCUGUAAGACUACAAUUCCCAGUCUACCUUGCAGAUAAGCUAUUGAAUGUGACAUGACCUGGAGAAGAAGCCGUAUGUUAGGCUUUGGAUCAUACAGAAGGAAGGAGCCUGAGUUACUGGGGAUCACAGUGGCUUGAUGAAUGAGUUUGUUGACGCCACUGAUUCUUCACCCAAGUGUCUGAUGGGUGGUCUUUCAUUUCAAAAGAUUCAUGCUGCCCUGUGCCUGUAUGUUAUGAUGUUUGGAAACAGUGGACUUGUAAUUGCUCAGAUAUUGCUGCCAGCUCAGUGGAGAUGAUUGAGAAUGGAUGGCUUUGGUCAUCAGAUCAUUGUGGAAAGUACUGAACCCUGGAUGCCAUGUAAUUCAUUUUUAAUUCAAGACUGAAUAAAUACACUGCAUUUUUGAA
Dipodomys ordii (Ord's kangaroo rat) is the source of this 563-nucleotide long non-coding RNA. RefSeq lists it as uncharacterized. The transcript has 5 exons. NCBI's taxonomy places the organism in Eukaryota, Metazoa, Chordata, Mammalia, Rodentia, Heteromyidae. The record is from RefSeq and is a predicted model, not a curated record.